GACGAACGCUGGCGGCGCUGCUUAACACAUGCAAGUCGAACGGAAAGGCCCUGCUUUUGUGGGGUGCUCGAGUGGCGAACGGGUGAGUAACACGUGAGUAACCUGCCCUUGACUUUGGGAUAACUUCAGGAAACUGGGGCUAAUACCGGAUAGGAGCUCCUGCUGCAUGGUGGGGGUUGGAAAGUUUCGGCGGUUGGGGAUGGACUCGCGGCUUAUCAGCUUGUUGGUGGGGUAGUGGCUUACCAAGGCUUUGACGGGUAGCCGGCCUGAGAGGGUGACCGGCCACAUUGGGACUGAGAUACGGCCCAGACUCCUACGGGAGGCAGCAGUGGGGAAUAUUGCACAAUGGGCGGAAGCCUGAUGCAGCAACGCCGCGUGCGGGAUGACGGCCUUCGGGUUGUAAACCGCUUUCGCCUGUGACGAAGCGUGAGUGACGGUAAUGGGUAAAGAAGCACCGGCUAACUACGUGCCAGCAGCCGCGGUGAUACGUAGGGUGCGAGCGUUGUCCGGAUUUAUUGGGCGUAAAGGGCUCGUAGGUGGUUGAUCGCGUCGGAAGUGUAAUCUUGGGGCUUAACCCUGAGCGUGCUUUCGAUACGGGUUGACUUGAGGAAGGUAGGGGAGAAUGGAAUUCCUGGUGGAGCGGUGGAAUGCGCAGAUAUCAGGAGGAACACCAGUGGCGAAGGCGGUUCUCUGGGCCUUUCCUGACGCUGAGGAGCGAAAGCGUGGGGAGCGAACAGGCUUAGAUACCCUGGUAGUCCACGCUGUAAACGGUGGGUACUAGGUGUGGGGUCCAUUCCACGGGUUCCGUGCCGUAGCUAACGCUUUAAGUACCCCGCCUGGGGAGUACGGCCGCAAGGCUAAAACUCAAAGGAAUUGACGGGGCCCCGCACAAGCGGCGGAGCAUGCGGAUUAAUUCGAUGCAACGCGUAGAACCUUACCUGGGUUUGACAUGGAUCGGGAGUGCUCAGAGAUGGGUGUGCCUCCUUUGGGGUCGGUUCACAGGUGGUGCAUGGCUGUCGUCAGCUCGUGUCGUGAGAUGUUGGGUUAAGUCCCGCAACGAACGCAACCCUUGUUCACUGUUGCCAGCACGUUAUGGUGGGGACUCAGUGGAGACCGCCGGGGUCAACUCGGAGGAAGGUGGGGAUGACGUCAAGUCAUCAUGCCCCUUAUGUCCAGGGCUUCACGCAUGCUACAAUGGCUGGUACAGAGAGUGGCGAGCCUGUGAGGGUGAGCGAAUCUCGGAAAGCCGGUCUCAGUUCGGAUUGGGGUCUGCAACUCGACCUCAUGAAGUCGGAGUCGCUAGUAAUCGCAGAUCAGCAACGCCGCGGUGAAUACGUUCCCGGG
RNAcentral lists this ribosomal RNA (1344 nucleotides) under uncultured bacterium. RNAcentral describes it as "16S ribosomal RNA". It matches the Rfam family "Bacterial small subunit ribosomal RNA", at positions 28 to 1378 of the family's 1533-position model. The record is from RNAcentral.